This 223-nucleotide unclassified non-coding RNA is filed under the name plant metagenome. RNAcentral's name for it is "partial contains small subunit ribosomal RNA, internal transcribed spacer 1, and 5.8S ribosomal RNA". The record is from RNAcentral.
UUUCCGUAGGUGAACCUGCGGAAGGAUCAUUAAAGAGAAUAUGCCCUUCGGGGUAGAUCUCCCACCCUUUGUUUAUAUUACCUUUGUUGCUUUGGCAGGCCCGUCUUCGGACCACCGGCUUCGGCUGGUCAGUGCUUGCCAGAGGACGCAAAACUCUUAUUAUUAAUGUCGUCUGAGUACUAUAUAAUAGUUAAAACUUUCAACAACGGAUCUCUUGGUUCUG